CACGAAUUUCCACAAAAUCCUAUAAAAUUGUAAAAAUUGUAAAAAAUUGUUUUUCUUGUAUUUUAUGAGAGUAAUUCACAUAGGGCAAAAAUCACGUGCUCACAAAACCAAUUCAAAAUUGAUGGAUAUCUAUUUAAGCAUUUUGGCAUCACACUACCAUCAUGGCUAUAUCAAGAUGAACAGUACAUGAUACUCAUUAACCUAAACAACAAAUUUGCAUUAAACCCUUGAGAAGAUGAAACUCAUACACACAAUGUGACUCAUCAGAACAUCAACAUGCAGUAUAAAGCUUUAUAACAUGCAGUACAAAUCCUUUAACAUCCUAUAAUCUUACAGAGCUUUCAAACAGAACAAAUUCCUACAAUAUUCGAUCCUACUGGGACACAUUACUAUAUACAUCCAUAACUAAAUUCUAAUUAGCUAAAAGGAACAUAGAUGACAGAGUAAAAGUAACAAGAAUAAAAUCAGCAAAUAUCAAUCACUCCACGCAUUCAUUAUGCCAUUUUUGAAGUAAGAGGCAAACGAUCCACAUAUUCAUAUUCAUAAUCGAUAACCAAGAGAUGUUCAACUUACAUACCUGGAUACAAGCAAACAAAGCAAAGGAAUAAAUCUUUGAACUUGACAAGGGACAAACAAGCAACAUAAAACUAGCAACAAAAAUGCAGCAGUAAUAAUCAACACCAGCUUCAGAUUAAAUCAUUUUUCUUGACUCCAAAAUCACUAGAAAUCGAAAAAAGAGUUCCCCUUAAACUUUUGUGAAAGAAGGAAAGAGUGAAAGGUUGAAUACAAGCAUCAAUAUUUUCAGAAAAGAAUUAUUAGCCGUUUGCUAUUUUUAGGUGUUGUAAUCUCUGCCCUAGGUUUGAAUGAAAAGAGCCUUUUAUAGAAAGGUUCUAGGCAGCAAAACCUGAUUUUCUUAAUUCACUCUCACCUCAAUUGAAUUUGCUCUUGUUCAUUUCAGUCCCUAAAUUUUAAGCAUGUGUGUUAAACCUCCCAAUUCCCACCUUUCUAGAUAGUUAGGGAAGAUUCCUUCUACUCAAUUCUCCUAACUACCCCUCAAAAGGUUUGGUAAUUACUUUAAACAUUAACAGACUACCCCAAAUGCCUUUGGGCUUCUGCUCUAACAAGCUUCAACAGACUUUUUGGGCUUCUUGCACUAGCAAGCCCAAUUUCAAGUCUAAGCAAACAAAUUCACAAGAAAUCCACCAACCAAAUUCUGAAUCCAACUAACAUAAGAUCUUCUAACGAAGUAGAAAUAAAAGGAAAGGAGUAAAAGGAAAGAAGAAAAUUAACAAGUACUAACAAAGAUAUUAUCUGUACUAUUAAGCUAAUACUACCAAAUUAGUCGAUUGAAAACCCAUGUUUUUUAAACCCAACUGAGAUAAAGAGGAAGAGAACUAUACCGACUAGAUCGAUAGCUCAAAGAUGAUGGCAUUCGGCGAGAGGAACCUCAACCGCAUGGUGUGAACUGUAACAUUGAGCACUAGCCGUAAUUUCUUCAAUGGCUUGUGCUCUUUGCCAUAAUCCUCAUCACGAUUCAAGAACGAAGACGAAGCAGAAGCUCAAAGUAUUGGCUCAUCAAUGGUUAUCUUCACCAGAAAUAAGUUACCAUGGAAUGAAUCGAAAUCACAACCAAUUGACUAGUCGAUUCCCACAUGUUAUUUUCAAGAAGAUGCCAGGUGAGGAAGGAAUCAGAAAAGGGAAACUAUGUUGGAUCUUCUGCAAUCUUUGAAUUAAGAUUCGGAAAGAUUUGGUAAUUUUUGGAGGAAAUCAAUAGUGGAUUUGGAAUGGAAGGGGGUGGGGGAACGGAGGUUGUGUGGUCAAUUUUUGGUGGAGUUUGGAGAUCCACCGUCGGCAAUGGUGAAUUCCGGUGGUUGGCGGAUGGUGGUGAGAGAUAAGGUGUGAGGGAGAUGAAGAACAAGGUACUAUGUUGUCUCUGAAAGAUUUGGACAUUCUUAAACGGGUGGGCUGGGGCUUUAAUGAACGUUGGAUAAAAGAAACUGAAGGGCCACGAUUCACUUGGACUGGUCUACGACGUAGUUUGGACUUUGUACUUUGUACUAGAAUCUCAAAACCGCGGGGGUUCCCAUAACGCCGGUACAAGAAGUAGAAUGUGCAGAAUCCCUUAGCCAAAUUUCCGUCUUUAACUUCCCGACUGAUGCUUAGAAGAUCCAAAAACUUAUGAGGAGUCACUGUUCUAGGUGCCACUGGGUAUUGAUUUAUGUGAUUCUCACUAAAACCAGUGUAUCCCGGUAUUUCCUUAAGCAUAUGGGUUAGCUCAAAAUCAGCAAAAUAGAACACAUUAUGUGCUGGGUCCCAAAAGGGUAUCAAAACCUCAAUUAUAUCCUUUCUCGGCUUAAUCUCCAGAAGACCAACAAGACCUCCCAAAUCUUUUAUCACAGUAUCUUGGCUGACUUCCCCUAAAUCAUUCCACCACAUGUGGAGUUCUAACGGGAUUUCCUCGAGGACCGUGAAAGGUUCAUUUUCAAUCAUGCUCAUCCUACACAUUUAUUUAAAGUGAUUGGUUAAAAGACUGUGAUUUACUUUGACUCAAAAGAAAAAUACUAAUUUUUGAAAAAAUUGCAAUUUAAAAACAAAACACUUUCGUGAAUACAACCCUUCAACACCUCAAAAAAGAAGAUUUUAGGGCUGUGUUUGCUAAUCAACCAAAAUUUGAAAAAGGGCCUUAGGUGGAUAUUAUUGCAAAAGCAGCCUUCCGGUGCCCUUUUGGGGCAUUUGGCUAUUUUGGACAAGAACAGCACUACCUAAUUUAUUUUUGACAAAAUAGCGACACCUCAUAUUUUUUGGGUUAUUUUCGCAAAAAUGGAGUUGGACCCGAUGAGGGUUGCCUAUGUAUCGCACAUCCGGUGAGAAUCAAACUUGCGUAGUUCGGUCAAUUUUGACGCAACAGAAAACAUAAACACUUGAAAUGGUUUUUUUUUUCAAAAAUUUCGGCAGAGUUUCGGGAUAUUUUGGAUACCAGAUUUUUCACAGGUGGGUAAUUUCCUCUCUCUCACCUCAAUUUGAUUUUUCUCAAUUUUUCUCCCCUAUUCUAGAAGCCGGUCAACAUGCUAUCCGAGUCAAAUAAAUGUGCAAGUAGCAAGUAAAAAUGCAUCAGGAUGACCUUUUGAUUUUGGGUACACUUGUCCUAGACGGACCCAACCCCUGUGUUGAUUCCCCAAAAUCAAAUGCACGCGAUGCAAACAAGCGUUUCUACUAUGGAUCCGACAUGAGUCUAUGUUAUAUUAGGUUUGAAAACCUGGGUUUAUUUGUUCUAGACCUGGCUUACCUGAGUGGACAACUUGAGCCGGGGGGGGGGGGGGAGGUAGCGUACCGAGNNNNNNNNNNNNNNNNNNNNNNNNNNNNNNNNNNNNNNNNNNNNNNNNNNNNNNNNNNNNNNNNNNNNNNNNNNNNNNNNNNNNNNNNNNNNNNNNNNNNNNNNNNNNNNNNNNNNNNNNNNNNNNNNNNNNNNNNNNUGAUUUAGAAAACUUAGAGAGAUGAGGGUUUUGCAACAAUUUAUAUAUAGUUCAACAAUAUCAAAGCGGUAAAAGGUAACAUUUAACAUAUUAGGCCCAAACAUGUAAAUAAAACUAGAUAAUAAAUAAAUCCAAAUAUAACAAUUAUUCUAAGCUUGAAUUCUUGAACCCUGAACCAGAGAUUCUGGGUUCGUAUCCUCAGCAAAGUCACUAGAGCUGUCACACCUCCUUUUUUUUUACCCCGAAAGGGUAUAAGGGAGUUUUUCCCAAUUUAAGUGACUAUCUAAACAGGAUUAUUUAUUUAUGAUUCAGAGUCACCAUUUGGGAUAAUUUAUGGUAUACCAAGUUACCAGUUUAAAAUCCCGAAUCAAAGAAAGAUCGACUCUGUUUUAUAGUCCACAAACACGAAAAUCCAGGUAAGGAAUUCUGUUAACCCGGAAGAAGGUGUUAGGCAUUCUCGGGUUCCAUGGUUCUAGCACGGUCACUCAACUAUUAUUAUUGGCCUAAUUAUCUGAUUUUAAAGCACUUUUAAACCUAUGUGCAUUUUUCAACUUUAAUACCACUUUUAUUUGUUUAAGGAAUUAUUUUAAACACAUCAUAAGCCACGCUACAUAAAAUGCACCCAUGAGUCAUGACACGUUCUAUUUAACCUUAUUGGAAAUUAGAACUGGGUCACAUGAAAUGUACCCCCGGAUUUAGUAGUAUCCAUGAUAAUUAUAUAAUUAACGUGCCUAAAGCAAACUACGGUGUUUAUUUUUAAUAUCUAAAUUAUAACAUAUGAGGGCCAUAGGUUGUGGGUUUAUUUGCGUAUGGCGCACCUCAAAUUAUUUUUAAAGGGAAAUAUUUGUAUUAUUCUUUUUAGGUGGCAAACUAAAGAUGCUCUUACUUUAAUCUAAUUUGAAAAUUGGGUAUCACAACCACGUUACGAGAACCGUAACCGUAGUUGUAAUAAUUAAUUACGUGCCUAACUUAAACUACGAGAUUCAUAAUUCUUGAAACUAAUGCGAGGUUUAAUGAGAGGCUAUGAAUUAACGCUAAGGUAUUAGAUAUUGAUGCACGCUUUUAAAAACCCCUUGUACCAUUUGGCCCAGGGAAACCUAUCACGUUAUUUAAAAGAUAUAAUCCCUACGAGCCAUUGAUCUCAAAAUCAAGCCCAAGCGGAAAGAGGCAUUCCCAAGCCUCAUUAUGGCCUUGCCCCAUCCUUCAGGCCCAAUGGCAACAACUGCCAAUUCAACUACAUAAUAAACGAAUAGCAUAUUUACAGCAGCAUACCCAAGAGGUGAACGAACUAAAUAAAAAUUCCAUUUAGGUUGAAACAUGGCACAAUUAGAAAUGACUCAUUUAACUAACUUUAUAUGCAUUAACCACAUAGUAAAAAAAUAGGCAUGAAAUAUUGCAUAAACCCCCUGAACUCUUAUUCAAACCAAUUCAAAAUUGAUUGAUAUCUAUUUAAGCAUUUUGUCAUCACACUACCAUCAUGGCUAAAUCAAGACGAACAGUACAUCAUACUCAUUAACCUAAACAACAACUUUGCAUUAAAUCCUCGAGAAGAUGAAACUCAUACACACAAUGUCACUCACCAGAACAUCAACAUGCAGUAUAAAGCCUUAUAACAUGCAGUACAAAUCCUUUAACAUCCUAUAAUCCGACAUAUCUUUCAAACAGAACAAAUCCCUACAAUAUUAGAUCCUACUGGGACACAUUACUAUAUACAUCCAUAACUAAAUUCUAAUUAGCUAAAAGGAACAUAGAUGACAGAGUAAAAAUAACAAGAACAAAAUCAGAAAAUAUCAAUCACUCCACGUAUUCAUUAUGCCAUUUUAGAAGUAAGAGGCAAACGAUCCACAACUUCAUAUUCAUAAUCGAUAGCUAAGAGAUAUUCAACCUACAUACCUGACAUCAAACAAAUCAAAGGAAUAAAUCUUUAGACUUGACAAGGGCCAAACAAGCAACAGAAAACCAGCAACAAAAAUGCAGCAGCAAUAAUCAACACCAGCUUCAGAUUAAAUCAUUUUUCUUGACUCCAAAAUCACCAGAAAUCGAAAGAAGAGUUCGCUUUAAACCUUUGUGAAAGAAGGAAAGAGUGAAAGGUUGAAAACAAGCAUCAAUAUUUUCUGAAAGAAGUAUCAGCCGUUUGCUAUUUUUAGGUGUUGUA
Molecule: long non-coding RNA, 5628 nt
Filed under: Nicotiana tabacum (common tobacco)
Lineage: Eukaryota; Viridiplantae; Streptophyta; Magnoliopsida; Solanales; Solanaceae
Description: long non-coding RNA (NTAB_LNC001505)
Source: RNAcentral